Long non-coding RNA from Thalassophryne amazonica, 511 nucleotides. RefSeq lists it as uncharacterized. The transcript has 2 exons. NCBI's taxonomy places the organism in Eukaryota, Metazoa, Chordata, Actinopteri, Batrachoidiformes, Batrachoididae. The record is from RefSeq and is a predicted model, not a curated record.
UCUGACUGUACAGUGUGAACAGCCUCAUUAUAUUGUUUAUGCAACUUCUGAACUCAUGCCAACAUCAACAGUAUGGAGCCCAGAAGAUGGAAACAAUAUUAAAACUUACAUACAUGCCCUGCAAAGAGAACAUCGCGCUGGUUUUUCCAGGAAGGGCCUCAGGUUUGCUGACUGCUUCUUCCAGGAAGGCUUUUUGUUGGCUGAUCAGUGCUUAUAGGAAAGACGUUUGGUUGGCCCAUCAGCACUCGUAUUGUCACAGCCGCUUCUGAUAAAGCUAGACGAGCUUCCAGGAAACCAGAGAUUUACCCUCCAGCAUUCCAUCAUUCCUUCACCAUCAGCAGAGAGCAAGUGAGAGAAAGAGAGAGAGAGAGAGAGGAGCAGAAGGGUAUAACAGCGAUGUGGAUCAAUAAAAACAAUAUGGGAAGCAUGCACAUAUUCAUAUACAGUUGAAAUGUGUGCGUUUGUUAACACCUGAUGGAUGGGUGUGUCGGCGUUCUGCCUGGAAGAAGAA